GUGAGCUUUCCGCCAAUCCGAGCGCCACCUGGGGGUGAUGGACGCCGGCCUGUGGCCAAUGAGGAGCUAACCACAUCUGCAUUGCCCUUUCUUUCUUCUGUCCUGAGUCCUGAAGAACUCAAGGAUUGCUGGAAACAACCAAAGAUUUGAUAGCCCCUGUAAAAGAUGCUUAAUUCCAUUUGCAAGGAUUAUACUCAGGUCCUGCCCUUGUCGCUGGGGAAGUCACAGCCAGCUGAACUGUGUGGUGUAUUUGCAUACAAUAAAAAGUGGACAUGCAAGAAAA
Molecule: long non-coding RNA, 283 nt
Organism: Grammomys surdaster
Lineage: Eukaryota; Metazoa; Chordata; Mammalia; Rodentia; Muridae
Exons: 2
Source: RefSeq, a predicted model, not a curated record